GACGAACGCUGGCGGCGUGCUUAACACAUGCAAGUCGAACGGAAAGGCCCUGCUUGCAGGGUACUCGAGUGGCGAACGGGUGAGUAACACGUGGGUGAUCUGCCCUGCACUUCGGGAUAAGCCUGGGAAACUGGGUCUAAUACCGGAUAGGAGCCAUUUUUAGUGUGAUGGUUGGAAAGUUUUUUCGGUGUAGGAUGAGCUCGCGGCCUAUCAGCUUGUUGGUGGGGUAAUGGCCUACCAAGGCGGCGACGGGUAGCCGGCCUGAGAGGGUGGACGGCCAACAUGGGGAUGGAGUACAGGCCAGACGCCGACCGGGGGGAGGAGGGGGGAAAAAUGGACAAAGGGCGGGAACCUGGAGCAGCCACGGCGCGGGGGGGAUGAAGGGCGUCGGGUUGGUAAAUCGUUUCGCUAUGGACGAAGGUUUGUGUGACGGUAACUAGAAAAGAAGCACCGGCUAACUACGUG
This 465-nucleotide ribosomal RNA is filed under the name uncultured bacterium. Its description in RNAcentral is "partial 16S ribosomal RNA". It matches the Rfam family "Bacterial small subunit ribosomal RNA", at positions 28 to 507 of the family's 1533-position model. The record is from RNAcentral.